RNAcentral lists this long non-coding RNA (435 nucleotides) under Ananas comosus (pineapple). Its description in RNAcentral is "long non-coding RNA (ACOM_LNC024988)". The record is from RNAcentral. Lineage: Eukaryota; Viridiplantae; Streptophyta; Magnoliopsida; Poales; Bromeliaceae.
AUAUCUUAUACACGGCACUUUUUUAGAAUAAUACAGCAGAUACCGACCGUUCCUAGAACAAAUGGCAAAGAAUUUGAUGGUUGGUACCAGAGGUCUCAAGUUUGAAUCCUAGUUGAUUCACAUUUUCAGCUAAGUUUAUUUCUAAAUGAAAUAAACGAAGUAAGUAGUAUGCUACCUAUCUUCCAAAAAAAAUACAGCAAAUAUUUUUAAAUUAAAACUUAAUUUAUUUGUAUGCGAUAUUUAUGUGAUAUCGAAAAGGCGGAUAUUUAUUCAGUUAUUAUAAUUUUUUAAAUUUAGUUCUUCUAAAAAUAAAAUAGUUUUAUUUCUAUAUAAUUGAUGUUUGAGAGACUACUUGAUGUUUUGAUUAUAUAUAUUUUUUAAAAUUUUAUUUUAAAAUAUUAAUAAUAAAAUAAAAUUGGUAGUGUACGAGAAGUA